CCCUACGGGAGGCAGCAGUGAGGAAUAUUGGACAAUGGGCGCAAGCCUGAUCCAGCCAUGCCGCGUGCAGGAAGAAGCAUCUAUGGUGUGUAAACUGCUUUUGUACAGGAAGAAACAUCCCGACGUGUCGGGACUUGACGGUACUGUAAGAAUAAGGAUCGGCUAACUCCGUGCCAGCAGCCGCGGUAAUACGGAGGAUCCAAGCGUUAUCCGGAAUCAUUGGGUUUAAAGGGUCCGUAGGCGGUUUGGUAAGUCAGUGGUGAAAGCCCGCAGCUCAACUGUGGAACGGCCAUUGAUACUGCCAAACUUGAAUUACAAGGAAGUAACUAGAAUAUGUAGUGUAGCGGUGAAAUGCUUAGAUAUUACAUGGAAUACCAAUUGCGAAGGCAGGUUACUACUUGUGGAUUGACGCUGAUGGACGAAAGCGUGGGGAGCGAACAGGAUUAGAUACCCCGGUAGUCCA
This 463-nucleotide ribosomal RNA is filed under the name Pseudomonas sp. DCB_Q. RNAcentral's name for it is "bacterial SSU rRNA". It matches the Rfam family "Bacterial small subunit ribosomal RNA", at positions 337 to 797 of the family's 1533-position model. The record is from RNAcentral. Lineage: Bacteria; Pseudomonadati; Pseudomonadota; Gammaproteobacteria; Pseudomonadales; Pseudomonadaceae.